RNAcentral lists this non-coding RNA (3308 nucleotides) under Pan troglodytes (chimpanzee). The record is from RNAcentral. Lineage: Eukaryota; Metazoa; Chordata; Mammalia; Primates; Hominidae.
AACGGGAUGCCUUUGAAAGCAUCGUUCUGCAGCAGGACUGCGCGACCGGCCAAUCAGAAUACAGGGAACCAUGAAAGAGCCCCAGCUCUGUCCCUGUGUGAAUCUCAGGGCCGUUUCGAGGAUGAAAAGGAGGCGUUUAGCCCCGAGCCUCACGUGGAAACAUCUGAUGAGCCUUUGCCAAUAUGCUCGGGACCUGGGGACGGCUGGGGUGACCCCAUCGCACGGCCGGGCCGUGGAAACAAUCUCGGCCCUGGAACCGGCGCCUGGGAAGUCCCGCGGUGGAUCCGCGUCACGGGGGAGGAUUGGCUCAGCACUGGUCCUGCGGAAUGUGUUUUUAUCAAUGACUUGACGACGUGAAAAACAUGUUUAUAAAACGAGCAGAUGGUGCUGAGCUGAGAGGGAGGUGACGCAGUGACUCAGGAACCACAAGCUCUGGAGGCUGAACGAGAAUCGGUUACAGGAGAUGAACACAAGGCUCGAUUCUCCUGUUAAACUUGACUGUCACCAACGGCGGGUGGGGGGUGCGCGAGGCCCUGGGCUCCACCGAAGACCUUAAGGAAAAGACUCUGGAUGUUAGUGGGUUCGGCCUCAGAAUCAGCCGGCGCUGAGAUGUGCACCUGGCAGGAUGAACGUAACUUCUGGUGGAUAAAGGGGGAGGCCUGAUCCAGGAAGAAGCACACCGUGGCCUGGGGCCCCUCUGGAGGGUGGAUCUUCCAAGUCACGGGAAACAGUGCGCCCAGGAGACGGUGAGCCCGGCUGCUGCCACCCCGAAGGCCAGGCUCGCCCCACACCGUGAGACCCUCCCCACACGAAGAUUCUGUAAGCGGAAUCGGAAGGAGGAUGUGAGAAGGACGGACAGCCAUGCCACACCAGGCCAGACAUCUUACCAACCUAUCGGUUCAGUUUUAAGAAAGAGAGCAAAGAGGAUCUAAAAUCUGAACUUUGAGCAGCUGAACUGUGUGGAAUAUCAACGUGGCUCCUGACAACCCCACCGGCACUGUUUCUUUGCACCGGAGGUCCUGAAGAGCUCACGGAAGGUGCACUUGCAGUUGUAGUUCAGAGAUGAUGCUUUUAGACAAUCUUUCCCUUCGAGAAGUAGCCUAAUGAGAAGGACUCUGUAGAUCUCUUCCUAAAAAAGAAUCCUCAGUCUCUGGCAGAACAGCUGCCCAGAACAGCUUCUGCCUGUGAGGUAGCAAAGAAAAAGGCCCACACAGAAUUUGCUGGGAUAUUUUCUUUCCAACACCAACAAACCGACAGCCUUCCCAAAUCCUAGGGGCAGAGUCGGCUGGCGCUGAGAUCAAAAGGGGUGAAGGGAAGGCAGCCAGGCUGGGAGUCUUUCUCCAGCAACUUUCUUGGCGAGGUGACAUAUAUGCCCAGAACCUUUUUCUAUGGAAGGAAAAAGAAAACCCUGGCUUAAUCAUCAGAGUUAGGAGAAUCACCCACGUAUUCAUCUUUAAAAGCAAAUCAUGAUAACUUUUGGUCACUCAGAAGUAACCAAGGCAAAAUAUUCCUCUUAGGGGACUCUGCUUAAGAGUUUUGGGAGAAAAAAAAAACUAAACCAAAGGUUUAUUUAGAAAUAAAUUGUUUUCUGAGUAUUCUAAGGAAAGCUAUGCUUAGCCAAAGUGCUUCAGCCCUUGUACAUGUUUCAAAUACUUCUGUAGAAGUUUGAAAUGGACAUGGAUUUUCCCAACACACACGCACAAUCUCAGGUGAGCCCAAGACAGCCUAUGAGGAUGACACUGGGGAGUCUGGGUUUCAGCUCCGACGGGCCGGGCUCUAAACCCCAAAGUUCUUGUCGGCCAAGUGGGGGGGUUUCUUGUGAGGACCAGAGGUGGCACAUCCACGGGCAUGGGGGACACUGGCUCACGAUGCCCCAGUAAUGCCGUGGUUAGGACGCCGCUCACGCAGCUGCAGCGCAGAGCACGGGGGACGCUGGCUCACGAUGCCCCAGUGAUGCUGUGAUUAGGAUGCUGCUCAAGCAGCUGCAGCGCAGAGCAUGGGGGACGCUGGCUCACGAUGCCCCAGUGAUGCCGUGGUUAGGACGCCGCUCACGCAGCUGCAGCGCAGAGCACGGGGGACGCUGGCUCACGAUGCCCCAGUGAUGCCAUGGUUAGGAUGCUGCUCAAGCAGCUGCAGCGCAGGGCCAGUGUGGUGACCCUGACUCCUGGGAACGGUGAUCAGCUGGGCCUCUGCCUCACUGGACCACGCUGCAAGGCAAGGGCCUGGGAGAUGCCCACAGCCGCGCCUCUGGCUGUGAGGCAGCUGUGAUCCUCCAGCAGCAAUGCCCUCAGAAGCUGGGAGAUGUGAACCCCACAUGACUCUCCUCCUUGCUGUCUUCCUGUCCCUGAGCCUUCAGCUCUUCGUUGUCUCUGUCUUGUCUCUCUGCAUUGUUUGUCCUGUUUCUCUCUCUCUCUCUCUCGUUAUUACAACAUAGAGCCAAAAAUACUUUUUUGUUUAGGAUAUGGCACCAAAAUAGUAUCAUAUCCCUGUUCUUCAUCUGAAAUGCAGACAAGCGAAAUGCUGCAUAAUUCUUUUUUAAACAUUCAAAAAACAGAAAAUGCAUGUUAAGUUCUUUAAACUUCUGAGAUAAUACAACUAGACCUAGCAUGGUGCCAGCCAAUCAUUGCAUAAUGUGUGUUUCCUUCUCCUUUGGGGGCUCAUUCCGAUCAGGGUGCAUCUGGGAAGUCGGGCGACCGUGUCCACCUCCUGGGUGGAAGAAUGACCCAGGGAAGUGCUCCAUGGGGAAGGCGGGGCAUGAGAGAAGGGAGGGGUGGUCCCGAGGACCCUUUCCAUAGACCUGGGAGUUCCCGAUGAGCACGCGGAAAGGACGCGGUGGGAGCGGCAGGUGCAGAGGGAGGACUUGAAGGUUCCAUCCCUAACAGAGGACAGCGUGGCCGAGUACUCAUGCUUCCAACCCUGCACAGAGGAUAGUGCAUGCCCAGCAUGCAGACUGGCUUCCAUCGCGACACGGAGGACAGCGUGGAGCCCAGCUCGAGUGCUGUCCCCCCACCAUGACAGCGCAGCACGGGCCUUCCAAGCCACAGAGCCACAGGGAAGCCAGUCCUCCUGGACCAUGUGUGGCUGUUUUGGAGCCAGUUGUGUCCUGUGAAGAGCGCAGCGGCCGCAGGUGAGGCAGGAGUGAAGAUGGAGGAGGCGGCCAUCUCUCUGGGGCCUGGCAACAGCGAGAGCUUUUGCCAAGCCACUGUCUCCUGGAGGACAAGAUCUCCUUCCCAAAGGCAAGAUGGCCAAGAGUAUGGAGAAGAAAGUAGGUAAUACAAGUUUGCUCAGAAUAAACCUAUGUGUUCAUG